This 492-nucleotide ribosomal RNA is filed under the name uncultured bacterium. RNAcentral describes it as "partial 16S ribosomal RNA". It matches the Rfam family "Bacterial small subunit ribosomal RNA", at positions 30 to 507 of the family's 1533-position model. The record is from RNAcentral.
AUUGAACGCUAGCGGGAUGCUUUACACGUGCAAGUCGAACGGCAGCACGAAAAGAGCUUGCUCUUUUUGGUGGCGAGUGGCGAACGGGUGAGUAAUGUAUCGGAACGUACCCAGUAGCGGGGGAUAACUACGCGAAAGCGUGGCUAAUACCGCAUACGCCCUACGGGGGAAAGGGGGGGAUCGCAAGACCUCUCACUAUUGGAGCGGCCGAUAUCGGAUUAGCUAGUUGGUGGGGUAAAGGCUCACCAAGGCAACGAUCCGUAGCUGGUUUGAGAGGACGACCAGCCACACUGGGACUGAGACACGGCCCAGACUCCUACGGGAGGCAGCAGUGGGGAAUUUUGGACAAUGGGGGAAACCCUGAUCCAGCCAUCCCGCGUGUGCGAUGAAGGCCUUCGGGUUGUAAAGCACUUUUGGCAGGGAAGAAACGGCGCUGACUAAUACUUGGCGCAACUGACGGUACCUGCAGAAUAAGCACCGGCUAACUACGUG